RNAcentral lists this non-coding RNA (163 nucleotides) under Roseburia hominis. Its description in RNAcentral is "FMN sequence". It matches the Rfam family "FMN riboswitch aptamer (RFN element)". From Rfam's summary of the family: The RFN element is a highly conserved domain that is found frequently in the 5'-untranslated regions of prokaryotic mRNAs that encode for flavin mononucleotide (FMN) biosynthesis and transport proteins. This element is a metabolite-dependent riboswitch that directly binds FMN in the absence of proteins. The record is from RNAcentral. RNAcentral also lists the same sequence under 1 other name. Lineage: Bacteria; Bacillati; Bacillota; Clostridia; Lachnospirales; Lachnospiraceae.
GGAAUUCUUCGGGGCAGGGUGAUAUGAGUUCACAGAGAUGGAAGCAUAGAUUCCCGACCGACGGUGAUUCUGGCAGACGCCAGAUCAGUCCGUGAGCUGCAGUUGCAGUUGAGCCGGUGUGAAUCCGGGACCGACAGUAUAGUCUGGAUGAGAGAAGAGAAGC